Molecule: ribosomal RNA, 817 nt
Filed under: uncultured bacterium
Lineage: Bacteria
Description: bacterial SSU rRNA
Rfam family: Bacterial small subunit ribosomal RNA
Source: RNAcentral
GGGCGUAAGCGUGCGCAGGCGGUUUUGUAAGACAGGCGUGAAAUCCCCGGGCUCAACCUGGGAACUGCGCUUGUGACUGCAAGGCUAGAGUACGGCAGAGGGGGGUGGAAUUCCACGUGUAGCAGUGAAAUGCGUAGAGAUGUGGAGGAACACCAAUGGCGAAGGCAGCCCCCUGGGUCGAUACUGACGCUCAUGCACGAAAGCGUGGGUAGCAAACAGGAUUAGAUACCCUGGUAGUCCACGCCCUAAACGAUGUCAACUAGGUGUUGGGUGGGUAAAACCAUUUAGUACCGGAGCUAACGCGUGAAGUUGACCGCCUGGGGAGUACGGCCGCAAGGUUAAAACUCAAAGGAAUUGACGGGGACCCGCACAAGCGGUGGAUGAUGUGGAUUAAUUCGAUGCAACGCGAAAAACCUUACCUACCCUUGACAUGUCCAGAACCCCUGAGAGAUUGGGGGGUGCCCGAAAGGGAGCUGGAACACAGGUGCUGCAUGGCUGUCGUCAGCUCGUGUCGUGAGAUGUUGGGUUAAGUCCCGCAACGAGCGCAACCCUUGUCGUUAAUUGCCAUCAUUUAGUUGGGCACUUUAACGAGACUGCCGGUGACAAACCGGAGGAAGGUGGGGAUGACGUCAAGUCCUCAUGGCCCUUAUGGGUAGGGCUUCACACGUCAUACAAUGGUCGGUACAGAGGGUUGCCAAGCCGCGAGGUGGAGCCAAUCCCAGAAAGCCGAUCGUAGUCCGGAUUGCAGGCUGCAACUCGCCUGCAUGAAGUCGGAAUCGCUAGUAAUCGCGGAUCAGCAUGCCGCGGUGAGUACGUU